This is a long non-coding RNA of Etheostoma cragini (Arkansas darter), 200 nucleotides long. RefSeq lists it as uncharacterized. The transcript is spliced from 3 exons. Lineage: Eukaryota; Metazoa; Chordata; Actinopteri; Perciformes; Percidae. The record is from RefSeq and is a predicted model, not a curated record.
UCCUGCUCCAACAAAAGAAGCUCCCCUGAGGAAAGCCGCAUCCUACCACAGCACCACAACGCGGCCUUAUGCGUGUGCUGAAUCUUGUUUCAUAGAAACGGCGUCUUUGCCCUGAGGAUGGAUCUCCAUCGCGUCAACUUUGCUCAUGGACCAGGUGUGCCACAAACCUGGUCCUAGAUGUAUACUUUUUAUACAAAGGU